CAAGUAAGACAGACGUUCGCGGAUGCAGGUGCCGAAAGGCCGCAGACGAGGAAAGUCCGGGCUUCACAGGGCAGGAUGCCGGAUAACGUCCGGUAGAGGUGACUCUAAGGAUAGUGCAACAGAAAUAUACCGCCUGCAGAUGCAGGUAAGGUUGGAAGGGCAGUGUAAGAGACUACCGCCUGGGUGGUAACACACAGGGCAUAUGUAAACCCCAUCCGAAGCAAGACCGAAAAGAAGUGGUAUGGCGGCCCGUCAUGCUUCAGGUUGGUCGCUUGAGUCUGCUGGCAACAGCAGAACUGGAUAGAUGAACGUCCACGACAUAACCCGGCUUAUCGUUUUGCUUGCUUU
Molecule: non-coding RNA, 348 nt
Organism: Coprococcus comes CAG:19
Lineage: Bacteria; Bacillati; Bacillota; Clostridia; Lachnospirales; Lachnospiraceae
Source: Rfam